UCAGGCCUAACACAUGCAAGUCGAACGGCAGCGCGGGUGCUUGCACCUGGCGGCGAGUGGCGAACGGGUGAGUAAUAUAUCGGAACGUGCCCUAGAGUGGGGGAUAACGUAGCGAAAGUUACGCUAAUACCGCAUACGAUCUACGGAUGAAAGUGGGGGAUUGCAAGACCUCAUGCUCCUGGAGCGGCCGAUAUCUGAUUAGCUAGUUGGUGGGGUAAAAGCCUACCAAGGCGACGAUCAGUAGCUGGUCUGAGAGGACGACCAGCCACACUGGGACUGAGACACGGCCCAGACUCCUACGGGAGGCAGCAGUGGGGAAUUUUGGACAAUGGGGGCAACCCUGAUCCAACAGUGCCGCGUGAGUGAAGAAGGCCUUCGGGUUGAAAGAUAGGGGUCAGGGAAGAA
Molecule: ribosomal RNA, 405 nt
Filed under: uncultured bacterium
Lineage: Bacteria
Description: bacterial SSU rRNA
Rfam family: Bacterial small subunit ribosomal RNA
Source: RNAcentral